GGUUGCAAUCGUGUUGUCAUUAAUUCUGACAAUAUGGAAGUCACUGAUACCAUGAAGAAUGGAGGACAUUCAGCAGGAGCGGCGGCUGCAGUUUUUGAUGAUUGUUAGUUUUUAGCGUGUGAUUUUCCUCUCACUGGUUUUGAAUGUUGUAAUAGGGAAGCAAAUAAAGUAGCUCGUGAACUUGCCAGAUUAGCUAGAUUUUCUGAGACAAUGGGAUGGUUUGAGGAGCCUUUGGUCGAAAUUGUAAAACCUCUAAUAGACGAUGUAACCGUUAUUUCUAAUUAA
Molecule: ribosomal RNA, 285 nt
Filed under: Triticum aestivum (bread wheat)
Lineage: Eukaryota; Viridiplantae; Streptophyta; Magnoliopsida; Poales; Poaceae
Description: partial small subunit ribosomal RNA
Source: RNAcentral